UGGCGGACGGGUGAGUAACGCGUGGAAAACCUGCCGUAUACUGGGGGAUAACACUUAGAAAUAGGUGCUAAUACCGCAUAAGCGCACAGCUUCGCAUGAAGCGGUGUGAAAAACUCUGGUGGUAUAGGAUGGUUCCGCGUCUGAUUAGCUAGUUGGUGGGGUAAUGGCCUACCAAGGCAACGAUCAGUAGCCGGCCUGAGAGGGUGAACGGCCACAUUGGGACUGAGACACGGCCCAAACUCCUACGGGAGGCAGCAG
This 258-nucleotide ribosomal RNA is filed under the name uncultured bacterium. RNAcentral describes it as "partial 16S ribosomal RNA". It matches the Rfam family "Bacterial small subunit ribosomal RNA", at positions 96 to 354 of the family's 1533-position model. The record is from RNAcentral.